AGCAUAUGCUUGUCCCAAAGAUUAAGCCAUGCAGGUCUAAGUACAUACGGGCUGUACAGUGAAACUGCGAAAGGCUCAUUAAAUCAGUUAUGGUUCCUUUGAUCGCUCCAAUGUUACUUGGAUAACUGUGGUAAUUCUAGAGCUAAUACAUGCUGACGAGCGCUGACCUCCGGGGAUGCGUGCAUUUAUCAGACCAAAAACCUAACCGGGCUUGCCCCGGCCGCUUUGGUGACUCUGGAUAACCUCGAGCCGAUCGCACGUCCCUGUGGCGGCGACGACUCAUUCGAAUGUCUGCUAUCAACUUUCGAUGGUACUUUCUGCGCCUACCAUGGUGAUCACGGGUAAUGGGGAAUCAGGUUUCGAUUCCGGAGAGGGAGCCUGAGAAACGGCUACCACAUCCAAGGAAGGCAGCAGGCGCGCAAAUUACCCACUCCCGACCCGGGGAGGUAGUGACGAAAAAUAACAAUACAGGACUCUUUCGAGGCCCUGUACUUGGAAUGAGUACACUUUAAAUCCGUUAACGAGGAACCAUUGGAGGGCAAGUCUGGUGCCGGCAGCCGCGGUAAUUCCAGCUCCAAUAGCGUAUAUUAAAGUUGCUGCAGUUAAAAAGCUCGUAGUUGGAUCUUGGGAUCGAGCUGGCGGUCUGCCGCGAGGAGGCUACCGCCCGUCUCAGCCCCUGCCUCUCGGUGCCCCCUCGAUGCUCUUAACUGAGUGUCCCGCGGGGUCCGAAGCGUUUACUUUGAAAAAACUUGAGUGUUCAAAGCAGGCUGACUUGCCCGAAUACUUCAGCUAGGAAUAAUGGAAUAGGACUCCGGUUCUGUUUUGUGGGUUUCUCUUAACCCGGGGCCAUGAUUGAGAGGGACGGCCGGGGGCAUUCGUAUUGUGCCGCUAGAGGUGAAAUUCUUGGACCGGUGCAAGACGAGCGAAAGCGAAAGCAUUUGCCAAGAAUGUUUUCAUUAAUUAAGAACGAAAGUCGGAGGUUCGAAGACGAUUAGAUACCAUCGUAGUUCCGACCAUAAACGAUGCUGACUGGCGAUCCGGCUGCGUUAUUCCCAUGACCCGCUGAGCAGCCUCCGGGAAACCAAAGUGUUUGGGUUCCGGGGGGAGUAUUGUUGCAAAGCUGAAACUUAAAGGAAUUGACGGAAGGGCAC
Molecule: ribosomal RNA, 1151 nt
Filed under: Acipenser transmontanus (white sturgeon)
Lineage: Eukaryota; Metazoa; Chordata; Actinopteri; Acipenseriformes; Acipenseridae
Description: SSU rRNA
Rfam family: Eukaryotic small subunit ribosomal RNA
Source: RNAcentral